Roridomyces roridus is the source of this 83-nucleotide non-coding RNA. The record is from the annotation of a GenBank genome assembly. NCBI's taxonomy places the organism in Eukaryota, Fungi, Basidiomycota, Agaricomycetes, Agaricales, Mycenaceae.
GCCCGCUUGGCUUAGGGGUAAAGCGUAUCACUCGUAUGUGCAUCGUGAUGAUAAGAUCAGUCGUUCGAAUCGGCUAGUGGGCA